CCACCCUUUAAUGUUUGAUGUUCUAACGUGGACCCGUAAUCCGGGUUGCGGACAGUGUCUGGUGGGUAGUUUGACUGGGGCGGUCUCCUCCUAAAGAGUAACGGAGGAGCACGAAGGUUGGCUAAUCCUGGUCGGACAUCAGGAGGUUAGUGCAAUGGCAUAAGCCAGCUUGACUGCGAGCGUGACGGCGCGAGCAGGUGCGAAAGCAGGUCAUAGUGAUCCGGUGGUUCUGAAUGGAAGGGCCAUCGCUCAACGGAUAAAAGGUACUCCGGGGAUAACAGGCUGAUACCGCCCAAGAGUUCAUAUCGACGGCGGUGUUUGGCACCUCGAUGUCGGCUCAUCACAUCCUGGGGCUGAAGUAGGUCCCAAGGGUAUGGCUGUUCGCCAUUUAAAGUGGUACGCGAGCUGGGUUUAGAACGUCGUGAGACAGUUCGGUCCCUAUCUGCCGUGGGCGCUGGAGAACUGAGGGGGGCUGCUCCUAGUACGAGAGGACCGGAGUGGACGCAUCACUGGUGUUCGGGUUGUCAUGCCAAUGGCACUGCCCGGUAGCUAAAUGCGGAAGAGAUAAGUGCUGAAAGCAUCUAAGCACGAAACUUGCCCCGAGAUGAGUUCUCCCUGAGACUUAGA
Molecule: ribosomal RNA, 627 nt
Filed under: Salmonella enterica subsp. enterica serovar Meleagridis
Lineage: Bacteria; Pseudomonadati; Pseudomonadota; Gammaproteobacteria; Enterobacterales; Enterobacteriaceae
Description: partial 23S ribosomal RNA
Rfam family: Bacterial large subunit ribosomal RNA
Source: RNAcentral